RNAcentral lists this long non-coding RNA (4421 nucleotides) under Sus scrofa (pig). RNAcentral describes it as "lncRNA (ENSSSCG00015040267.1)". The record is from RNAcentral. Lineage: Eukaryota; Metazoa; Chordata; Mammalia; Artiodactyla; Suidae.
CUCAGAGCCAGAAGGAUGGUGGCAUUUUUCCUAGUAACUUAUGAAGUCUGUAGCUUUUCUUCUGAGAUUUUUUUUUUUUUUUUAGGUGGAAAUGCUUGAUCUUAUGCUAUGAACCAUGGCUUUUCUUUUUAAAAACACUAUGAUAAAGGAAGUCUAGUUGCAUUUCUUUUCCAAUAGAUUGGGUUUUACUUUUGCUUAGAAAAUUACAUGCACACCCAUGCACACAAUUUACCAUGGUUAUUUUUUAGUAUAUAUAGUGUACUAUUAUUAGUAUAUAGAGAUACAAAUUGAUUAUAUGGGUGAUUUACAGAGAAAAUAGAAGUAAGGUGAUACAUUAAAGAGGAUGAUGGGGAAGACAGUUUUUAAGGAGAUUGCUCAGGAAGACAGGAGUCUGCUAAACUGCAGAGAGUAGGAAAGAGAAUGUUGUAUCCCACUGGUCAGUGUGGAGGGACAGGAGACCUCUAUUCUGGUCCACGCUUCACCGGUAACUAAAAGGGUGGCCUUGGGGCCAGUCAGUCCUCCUUUGCUUUUUGGAGUUCCCAUCAGCAACCCUAAAGGUUUGGAUUGCUCAGCAUUUUGCUUGGCUGGAUUAUGCUUGACACCCAGUAUUUGGCUCUGGUAUCAUCUCCUUGGAGACCCCUCCCUGGCUCCCCUAACUCUUGUUGACACACGUGCUUGAUGUCCCUCUCUCCUCUUUCCCUGUCACCUUAUCCCUUGGUAGAGGUUUUAUUGUCUUCAUAACUUCCAUCACCGUCUGCGUUUAUGUUGAUUCCUCAUUCAUUUGUGCCUUUCCUAUGUUUCCCCACUGGAACAUAAGCCCCAUGAGACCAGAGACCUUAUCAGUCUUGUUCACCACGCGCAUCCCCAGCCCCUAGCAGUUCCUGGAACAUUUUGGACCCACAAUGAAUAUUCGUUGAGUGAAUGACUAGAUCAGUGGCUUUUAAACUAGAGAUGUCUCACAAGUUUUUCAGGGAUGGAUGUAAGAAAGAGAGACGGAGAUACAUGUGGUGGGCCUCCAAGUUCCCCACCUCCUGUUUAAUUAUGUGUAUGUUAUGUAUAUGUGUUAUAUCUGUGUCGAUAUAUAUCAAGAGGUCUUUUUUGGCUGUAUGUGAGGCGUACAGAAGUUGCCAGGUCAGGAAUCAAACCCACAUCACAGCAGCAACUGGAGCCAUGGCAGUGGCAAUGCCGGAUGCUGAACCUACUGACCCACACGGGAACUCACUAUAUAUCACUAAGUUUCUAAUGACACUAAAAUAUGUAACGUUAUAUAUUAAAAACAUGACUCCAUGUGCUACAACCAUUUGAAACAUACAGGGGCAUGAUGACCUUUUAAGAUUGUUCCCAGAUUGGAAUUUCUGUUGUGGCUUAGCGAAAACAAUCUGACUAGCAUCCAUGAGGAUGCAGGUGCGAUUCGUGGCCCCGCUCAGUGGGUUAAGGAUCUGGCAUUGCCAUGAGCUGUGGUGUAGGUCGCAGAUGCAGCUUGGGUCUGGCGUUGCUGUGACUGUGGUGUAGGCCGGCAGCUACAGCUCCGAUUUGACCCCUAGCUUGGGAACUUCCAUAUGCCUCAGGUAUGGCCCUAAAAAGACAAAAAAAAAAAAGGAGCCCUAGAAAUCAGACUCUCAGGGUAUUAAAAAAAAAAAAAAGAUUGUUUCCAGAUUGCAAUUCUAAAGCCCAAUAUCUCAUGAAUAGAAAAUAUUGGUGCAAGGAGGAGGAUAAUGGCAUAGAAGUUACAUACAUUGAGUGCCUUGCUGUAUGCUGGAUCCUAUGUCAGGCCUUUGGGCCACCUAGGAGAGGCAAAGUUCUUGUUGGAUGAUGUCUAUAUUUUAAUGAGAAAGGGUGCACGGACAGAGAGUCAACAAACAAAUGAAAGAAUGAGAUCAAUUUAACUAGUGAUACAAUAAUGUACAGUUCUUUGUUCCUUAAGGUGGCUGAUUGGAGAAUGAUUUGGGUUCAUUAAAAUGAAGUAAACACUCUGAGAAGUGACACAUGAUAACCCUAAACAAACGGUUACCUUCAGAGCUAGAAGAUGGUCUCCUUUGCCAGUGCUGCUCUGAGCCUGGACGGCUGCCUGCACAGUGGUCCAGGCUGUGUGCUGCUUUGGUUAGUCUGUGCAAGAUGCUGGUUCUGAUGCUUCUAAGGAGGAGGGUGGCCAUGUCAGCAUCUUCUGUUCCUUGAAGCUAUUGUGAUCAUUUUGUUAGAAGUCAUUGAGGCUUGAGAAUGAAAGAGGAAUGGCUGAAAGGCUUCUUUUGAGGAAAAGAAGAAUAUCAUCUCUCUUUAGCCAUAGAAACAGGAAAGAAAGGGUCAGGAGAUGAGCACCUGGGCCAGAAGGAAGUGGAGGCAUAGCAGGCUCUCUCAGGAGGCAGGCAGAAGUGGUAACUGGUUUGCAAUAGUCAUCAUAUCAUCAUCCUACAGGUAUACAACCAUUAUUGUCCACACAGAAACCCCGUGUUGUAAAUAAGGUGAGUGUAGCUUUUUUAUACUAUACAGAGCAGCUGAGAAAUACUACUAAUGUCUUUAUUUUUGAAUGGCAAAUUUUCAGUUUAUCGAAUGUGUACACACAAGUUAACUCUGUUUAUUCUCUGGGGUAUUAUUAUACUCAUUUUAGAGACUGGUAAGAGGCUUGAAUUGGCCUAUGCUAACUCUGCUAGUGUGUUGAGCCACUGUCCUGACCUCUGGGUUCUGCAAGGCACACAGCUGACAGAGUGGAGUAGCUGGGCCCCAAAUGCACCACCGAAUUUGCAUCUAAGAUGAGGACAUAGAGUGUCUUGAGCUCCCUGAAGCACACCCACACAUAUUUUGAAGCAAUGACUCUCCAAGAAAGAAUGGAAAUCAUGAAUGGAAUGAGGAUGUCAGACACCCAGGGCACAUCAAAUCUAGAAAAGGGAGGCUGGAAAAAGACAGUCUUGUGUUUUUGUUUUUUUUUAAUUUUAAAUUUUUAAAAAAUUCAUUAAUUUGUAAGAAUACAAGGCAAAGUGAGAAAACAUUUUGAAUUUAUGAAAGCCUGCACUUUGCUACCUUUAUUUCUUAUGAGUCUAGUGAGUCAACCCGCAGGUCUGGGGAGAGAGGGCUCCAAGGUUGUUAUGAAAAGAAACUUGAUCCUGAAUCAAAGAAGCAGAUUCAUCUCUGAAACCAAGAUUGGUCUAAGUUUUUCUCCUUGCUGUUGCUUAUUUUGGAAUCAGAUCUUAGAUGGAGCUUAAGGGAGAGACCUGCUACUCUGCUGAAAAGUGAUUUUGAAUGCAUUCAGAUCCAGAUUGAAUGUAUUUUUUUAUGCUGAUGGUGGGUGUUUUCUCAUUACCUGGAAAAAAAUAUAGGGCUUCAUAGUUGUUAAGAUUUUUACUUCAAGGUGGAGAAGUGCCUUAUUUAUCUUUGUAUUUCCAUUGUCAUAACAGUGUCAGACAUCACAUAAGCAAGUAUUUGGUAAAUGUUGAACUAAACUGUGGGGAGCAUGCAUUUUUAAAGGACCUCAACCCUUUAUAUUUCUAUGGCUAAAUGUUCUCUGCACCAGCUGUGAAACACUGAUCUUUGAGGUAUUCCUUUGGUCCAAUAUUUUUUAAUCAGAUUGAUUAAAUGUUUAACAUGUCAGGUACUCUUCUAAGUGUUUUUGGAGUAUCAACCCAAGUUUCCUCGUAAUCACAUUAUCAAGUGGGUUGGUAUGAUCUUAUUUCCAUUUGACAGAUGAGGAAGUUGAGGUGUGAGAUCUGCCAGGUCACUCAGUCAGAUAUGGUGGAGUUGGGUUUGAGCAGAGUGGAUGAUGCCACUGUCUGUGUGUCUAGUCAUGGUUUCUGACUACCUCUAGAAGGAAAUUACACAUGCGAUCUCAGACUGCAGCUCACACAUGAGCCAAGCCUGAGUUUGAAAGCCAUGUGCAGCAAGACAUCUGAAAGUUAAUAACAAUUAAGACCAACUCAUCCUCCAAAGUGCAGAGAGAAUUCAGAAUGAAUGCCUACAGGUCACAGAUUACUCUUUGAAACAGCUGCCAUUCCCAUAUUUUUUAAGAGUUAGAAAGUGCUUGAACAUGUAGGAUCUGUGAGUGACAAAUAUGUUUCAACUUGCAUCCCAGGGAAGGUUGGAAGUUGUCACCUGGUGGGCUGUAUUGAGGAUUCUAAGGAAAUAUCUAAGCUCUGUGGGAAAGCAGGCCAUGGUAGUUCAUUAUUGAUAUCUACGGUGGGCAGAGAGAAGGCAACAAAGCUGAUAAGUCAUUGGAGUGGCUUCUUCAAGAUUCAGGAAUCCAUACCUGGAGAUUCUUGGUGAAAUGUUCACUUUACAUGUAAGAAUGUAUCAAGGGGCNAACCUGGCAGAUCUUGAAUAUAGAUUCUUGGUGAAAUGUUAACUUUACAUGUAAGAAUGUAUCAAGGGGCAGAUUAUACUGUGAGUAGGCCUUGGAUCCAUUUAAAGAAUAAACUUAGUUUUACCAAAGUUCA